This 56-nucleotide transfer RNA is filed under the name Ictidomys tridecemlineatus (thirteen-lined ground squirrel). RNAcentral describes it as "Spermophilus tridecemlineatus (thirteen-lined ground squirrel) tRNA". It matches the Rfam family "tRNA". Rfam says of the family: Transfer RNA (tRNA) molecules are approximately 80 nucleotides in length. The record is from Rfam by way of RNAcentral. Lineage: Eukaryota; Metazoa; Chordata; Mammalia; Rodentia; Sciuridae.
GGGGCCAUAGCUCAGCGGUAGAGCGCUCAUCUCGCACGUGUGAGGCCCUGGUUCCA